Nicotiana attenuata is the source of this 633-nucleotide long non-coding RNA. RefSeq lists it as uncharacterized. NCBI's taxonomy places the organism in Eukaryota, Viridiplantae, Streptophyta, Magnoliopsida, Solanales, Solanaceae. The transcript has 2 exons. The record is from RefSeq and is a predicted model, not a curated record.
AUUUGGUUUAGGACUCUUCAAGCCGCAAACCGCUAGGCACCCUAAAACUUCAUUAGUUGAUCUCUACAUCUUCCGUUCACUCUAAUCCCAAUUCACCGAUAAGGUAUCUCAAAUCAAUCUAAGAUUCAUAAAUCUCAAUCUUCUAUAUUUUGAUUCGUGGCUGCUUUUGAAUGUUAAACCUUAACCCUAGAUUUAUAAUCUAUAGUAUGGAGAUUUCAUUUUGAAUCUUUGAAACGUUUCAAACCUAGAAGGGGCCGCUAGCCGUAUCUAAAAUUUCAGCCACUAGCCGCUGUCGUCGUCGCGAUUUCCGAUCAGAUUCAUCUAAUCUAACUCGUGCUAUAUCUUGGAUACAUCAGUUUUUGAAGGUUGUGAGAUCAAUUACUACUGUGAAGAAUCUUGACUAAGAGAAAGCAUGGAACACUUCAUCAGAAAAACACAUGGCUGCUUGAAGCUUUGAAUUAUUGGUUUUUUUUUUUUUUUUUUGAAAUUUUUUGGGAAAAUUUAUGGUUAUGUAAUUGUAGUUACAUGUUCAAGUAAUUGUUGUUUAUUUUAAUUGUCCGUAGUGUUACUGGUGUGUGGCUGUAGGCCUCUUGGAAAGUUUUGAAAUGAGUAAAAAAGUGAUUUUAUUCCUUU